GAAAAGUGCAAUGGAAAAAUUAUAAUCAGGUGUCGUCUUAGAAUCAUACUUCGAGAUUGAAUAAACAUUGGGUCGCAGGUUCAAAUCCUGCCUUUUCCC
This 99-nucleotide transfer RNA is filed under the name Chryseobacterium culicis. RNAcentral's name for it is "tRNA-OTHER". The record is from RNAcentral. Lineage: Bacteria; Pseudomonadati; Bacteroidota; Flavobacteriia; Flavobacteriales; Weeksellaceae.